CAACGCAGAGCCUGCUGGGAAAUGUGUUUGUGUUGGGCUUGCCGGCGAGAGAAGCGUGCGGCGAGUCACGCAGGCUGACCCAGUCACGUGGGCUCCUGGGGCGCCCAACGGUCAUAACGGCCCAAACACCCGAAAGAGCUCUGUUUACAGUGUCACUCACCACAGACUAUACUGCCUAAACGCAUUCUCUUGCCAUAAAUACAAGAAGUCUCAAACCCAGGCCUCUUUUCUCCUGGCAUCUACAUGAGUGAAGAAGACAUUAUCACUUACUCUCCUCAUCUGCAAGAAAGAAUGACUCAGGGGUUCUUUCAGGAAGUGGAGGAGGGGAGGAAGAGCGAUCCCGGUGUUUCUCUGAGAUACCAAGCGUGACACAGCCUUUAGUUUUCGUUACAAAAGGGUUGGCAUCAGCAUGAUUAUUAGGUAAGAUCUGAGACUCUCAUUGACCUGGGAAUCAAGUCCGGUCCUUUGGAACUGGUGAACCUCACAUAAUGGUGAAUCAGGUUUUCAGUAACCACUCACUCACUAUAUUAGACUUAUCUGUCUGGAUGGAAGUCAAGGGCUAGAAUGCUUAAAAAGACUGUAUUUGGCUUCUUGGUGACCAGUGUGGUAUUAUAGAAGCUGUUUUGUUACUGAAUUGGUGAAUCUAAUUAUAGAAUUAAACCGCCAGUUUUGAUGAUUGUGUGCCCUAUUCCUUGCAGUCUGCCUUGAGUGUAGCAUUCUCAGUGCGGCUCAUCCAGUCCAGUUCCCAUAUCAGCUUGCUGAACUGGAUUGGGCUGACAUCCCCUAUGGUGACCACAGUAAUGCAAUCCGUAUAAAUCUACAAUCCUUCCCAAGAGAACAUGCAAGUGCUACAAGUGCCCAUUCCCAAGAGAAUGGCAGAGAAUGUUCCCAAGGCAAUAAACAGUCUGAGAAGGAAACAAUGACAACUCAUUUUCCGGAUAAGACUGAAAGAAACAGUAGCACAAAAGGAUACCAGCUGAUUCAGGGACUGAUUAGGAGAUAUAAAAACUAACACUAGUUUGGUUGAUGCACUAGUCCGUCAUGUGUACAACAAAGCUGUUCCUCUGGGCAUGGAGCCUAGGGACUUUUACAAAGUGCAGUUCGGUACAGUUACAGUACACUACCGAGUUUACUACCAAACAGACAGGUAUCUCAACGGACUCAAUGAAGUAACAUCAAGAUAAACUGUACCUGAUCUGGAGCUCUGGAGCUUCACACUCUGGAAACAAACAAAAAGGGAAAAUACUUGAAAUUUCAAAAGCCAAAUGCGAAUCUUUAUAUUGUGAGCAAGUAGGCAAUGAACAGGAAGUGAUAUUACAAGCACUGAAACACCACCUACUAAUGUAAUGGACGAUGAGUUCUACAUUUCUUAUAUUCUUGUUACUAAUUGAAUCUGUGUUUCAGAGGAAGGAUGCUCUUGUGGUUAAGACACUGGCUGGGGAGUUCAAUUCAUGGUUCUUCUGCAGUCUCCCUGUGUGACCCUAGGCAAGUCACUAACUCUGUCAGUCUCUGUUCCUCAUCUCUAAAAUGGGGGCAACAAUAUUUUCCCAUCUCAUAUGGGAACUUAGAGAAUAAAUUCACUCAUGUUUGGGAGGGACUCAAGCCUUGUCUACACUUCAAACUUAGGUUGACAUAGCUAUGGCAUGCAGGUGGGAAAAAUCCACAUGCCCAAGCAUCAUAGCUAUGCAGACCUAACCCCCAGUGUAGAUGCAGCGAGGUCGAUGGAAGAAUGCUUCCAUUGACAUAGCUACCAUUGCACGGAGAGAUGGAAUUCCUACAGCGAAGGAAAAACCUCUUCUGCCACUGUAGCACCCAUGCCUCAGAUGCUACUGUGAAGGGGACCCAAGGGUGGUGGCUGGAGCCCCCCUUCAGGGAGGCUAGCCCCUGGCUCCGCCCAUGCUCUCCUCCCCCUGCAUCCAGAGCCCCAAGACCCCUUGACCUCCUCUGUGGCCGGGGAAACCCACACACAUUGGCCGGGGAAACCCAAGGCUGGUAGAAGCCCCGAGGCCUCCCCCACACCUGCCUGGAGGUGCCAGGGCCAGCCGCAGCUGCUCCACACCUCCCCUCCCCAGACCCCAAGCCGUCCAGGGAAAAGCAUCUCUUCCCGAAGAUGCUUUUGACAUGACCCAUCCAGGUCCCUGGGUUGCUGAGGAGGUGGUACUUGCUACUCAAUUUCCUGGGUUCAUCAGGGAGUCCAGGGAGAUUACUGAUGAACCUGAGAAACUGAAUAGCACAUACCGCCUCCUCAGCCACCCCAGAAUCUUUAUUAUGCAUGGUGCAUAAUAAAGCAAAAAUUUUGCUGCCAAACCCCGCAACCAGGGGUCUGGCGGCCACAGCAGUCUCCCCAGGCCUAUGAUACCCACCGCCCUUGAGGGAACCCCAUAAAUACCAAGACAGAUGUAAAACUGGCAGCUCAGGUUGUGACGUUGUGCAGUCUAUAUGGUUUUAUAAAAACAUGAUAAUAAGUGGAUAUACGAAUGGAUAUAAACUGGCCAUGGGGAAGUUUAGGCUUGAAAUUAGAUGAAGGUUUCUGACCGUCAGA
This is a long non-coding RNA of Chrysemys picta bellii (western painted turtle), 2542 nucleotides long. RefSeq lists it as uncharacterized. The record is from RefSeq and is a predicted model, not a curated record. Lineage: Eukaryota; Metazoa; Chordata; Testudines; Emydidae.